GUGAUUAACAUUAAACCAUGGUAACGCCCCGAUUUAGUCUAUGGCCAACCACCCUCGGUAAAUUUCGUGCCAGCCACCGCGGUUACACGAAAGAUCUAAAAUAAUUAACCCCGGCGUAAAGCGUGACCAAAACACAGCCCACACCACCGAAGCAUGAGGCACAACAAGUGUNGUNNAACCCAGAUGCCAAUACAAACCACACCCGCUUCAUCCAAGGGGCUAUUUCCACUCACGAAAGCUAGGACNCAAACUAGGAUUAGAUACCCUACUA
This 271-nucleotide ribosomal RNA is filed under the name Sphaerodactylus poindexteri. RNAcentral describes it as "partial 12S ribosomal RNA". The record is from RNAcentral. Lineage: Eukaryota; Metazoa; Chordata; Lepidosauria; Squamata; Sphaerodactylidae.